CAAGAAUCAUUUGCAUUACCGUGAGCUGUUUAUAACUUCUACCCACAGAGAGCUGUAAAAUAGCCCAGCUGAUUGAAGUCAGCCAAAGGUACUCAUCUUGGUAAGAGUAGGUAAUCCCUGGAGAUCCACGGGAUAAUACACAGUACUCCAGGGAGAGGACACCCAGUGCUUGGCUUUGUUUGUUUCCAAGUCUUUGUCAGUUUUUGCUGACACCACAAACCCUCCUCUGGUUUCCCUGGUGACAGGGCCGCCUGACUCUCUCCCUUCUGUUUCUCGUCUGUCCUUACGGCAUAAGCUCCAUGUCCAUCUUCCCUCUGGGCUCUUCCCUUUGGUUCCAAAGAGCUUAUUGUAGAAGUUAAAAAAAAAAAAAAACAUACAGUAAAGAGAUUAGCAUAAUCCUAAUUAUCCUCUAGGCAAUGCAGAAAAGAAAAAAACAUAAGGAUAAACAUAUUGAGAUUUGCUCUUGCUCCAGCACAAUUCCCUGAAAGACUUCUUCUAAGCCUGGUAUCCUGGGAGUGGCAGUGUUUUCAGCGUGGCAGACGGAGCAGUCAGGAAGCUGGGAGCCCAAACAGCAUGAGACAAAGCCGCGAAACAGAGGCCGUGCAUCUGUCGGUUGCCUCUCUCUGGUCACCCUCCUCUAGCCACAUAGUGCCGGUGCUAUGUGCCAGACAUACUCCAAUGAACAAGAUCCCUAGAGUAUCUGCUCUACUUUGGCUUAAAUCCUCAGGGAAGGGGCAGAACUAAAGAUGGAGCCCAUUCCUGAUGGGCUGUGGGCCGCCUAUGGAGUCUAUGAACAG
RNAcentral lists this long non-coding RNA (797 nucleotides) under Macaca mulatta (Rhesus monkey). RNAcentral describes it as "lncRNA (ENSMMUG00000041982.2)". The record is from RNAcentral. Lineage: Eukaryota; Metazoa; Chordata; Mammalia; Primates; Cercopithecidae.